RNAcentral lists this unclassified non-coding RNA (200 nucleotides) under soil metagenome. RNAcentral describes it as "partial contains internal transcribed spacer 2 and large subunit ribosomal RNA". The record is from RNAcentral.
UUCAACCCUCCAAGCCCUGCUUGGUGGUUGGGGCUCCGUACGGCUGCCGUAGGCCCUGAAAGCUAGUGGCGGGCUCGCUAUAACUCCGAGCGUAGUAGUAAAAUAUCUCGCUAGGGAGGUGUCGCGGGUUCCGGCCGUGAAAGCCCCAUCUUUUACACAAGGUUGACCUCGGAUCAGGUAGGAAUACCCGCUGAACUUAA